This 490-nucleotide ribosomal RNA is filed under the name uncultured bacterium. RNAcentral's name for it is "partial 16S ribosomal RNA". It matches the Rfam family "Bacterial small subunit ribosomal RNA", at positions 29 to 505 of the family's 1533-position model. The record is from RNAcentral.
AGUGAACGCUGGCGGUAGGCCUAACACAUGCAAGUCGAACGGCAGCACAGUAAGAGCUUGCUCUUACGGGUGGCGAGUGGCGGACGGGUGAGGAAUACAUCGGAAUCUACUUUUUCGUGGGGGAUAACGUAGGGAAACUUACGCGAAUACCGCAUACGACCUACGGGUGAAAGCAGGGGAUCUUCGGACCUUGCGCGAUUGAAUGAGCCGAUGUCGGAUUAGCUAGUUGGCGGGGUAAAGGCCCACCAAGGCGACGAUCCGUAGCUGGUCUGAGAGGAUGAUCAGCCACACUGGAACUGAGACACGGUCCAGACUCCUACGGGAGGCAGCAGUGGGGAAUAUUGGACAAUGGGCGCAAGCCUGAUCCAGCCAUACCGCGUGGGUGAAGAAGGCCUUCGGGUUGUAAAGCCCUUUUGUUGGGAAAGAAAAGCAGCAGGUUAAUACCCCGCUGUUCUGACGGUACCCAAAGAAUAAGCACCGGCGAACGUCG